UUAAAUGAGCACCCAGAACUGGGUCUCAGGGUAGUGAGAAACCUAAAGUUCGCAGAUAUUACCCCAGACGUCAGCUGGUAUGGAAACUUUCCAGCCGGCGCCCUAGUAAUAUUUUGGGGAAAAUGUCAGAGUGAGCCCAUGUGAGAAUAUGGAAGGAAAAUCUACCCAGGCUCCGCCCCUUUGCCGGAAUGGUCCAGAAGUGUAACUGCUGCUGUGAAUGCGUCUGACCCGGACAAUCUCCUGCUGCGUUCUUCACGGGGGGAACGGCAAACUCCGAAAAAAAGUGUUUCACCUAAAAACAAAAAGGCCCAUCUAUGGAGGUAAAACCUUCUACCUUGUUCAUGUGGUCAUCUCCAGGCGACCGCUACCCUGACAUUAACCUCUGGAACAUGCAUGAACGCAACUGGUUCAUUAAACGAAGAAGACGACAUUUAUUUUAAGCUAAUUUAGAUCCAUGUCCUACAUCUUCGUAAAUUGCGGUUUCAAACAAAUUUCAACACCGUUGCUGCUCUUUAUACAGUGUUUUCCGACAAUGAGUACACCUGUCUUUAUGAGGAAGCGCGUGAGCGGAAGAAAAUUUUGCCUCACGCCUUUGGCGGGUCAUUUUUUUUAGCUCGGUCUCUUGGCAACAGCGCCACUUCCCUGACCGGAAGUUGGAUAUUCGACGGAUGUUCACACCUGUCGGGGACCACAACACCUUUUACCAACCAGAGGAUUUGAUGUCACACUCCGCUGAGAUGACUCAACCACCAGGCUGAGGUGCAGACUUAUUGUUUAGGAAGGCAGUUUCCCCCCUGGGGGCGACCGCUGUGCCGUUCCUGAGAGUAUGAAAACGGAGGUGACAGGAUGUUGAUGAGGAGGGCCCGAAGCGUUACCUCCAACCAUCGUGCCCUGGAGUGCUCCACUUUGCCAGCCAGUAAUGAACCUCAGCAUCUGUAGCAGUUAGUUGGACUCCAGCUCAGGGCCGUGGAAUCUCGCUGUGGCAAUAUGUGGCGCGAGGGGCCGUGCGGCUGGCUCCCCUGGAACCAAAGGACAAGAAGGAACAACAAUUUUGGGGACACGUCAGCAGCAGCAGUGACAGCAGACAGUCCUCAGGCCUCUGCCGCAGCGAGGAGGGAGAUCAAUGACGAGACUAAUGGCGCUGUGCAUUAACUGACUCUUUGAAUGGGUGGAAGAGGGAGGCAGUAAAAGUGAGUCCCAUACUGAUGACUUGAUAUCAUUCCAUUCAAGCAGCCCUAAAAUGAGGAGUGCGUGCUACAAUCUAUCAGCUGCCCUGCUGGAGGAGAGCACUGCAGUGAGCCCCCCACCUGCCCGAGAGCUCCCGCUGUAGAUUCCCCACAGGCCGAGCCGGUCAACGCCCCCUUGGUUACCUGCAACAGUCUGUCUCCUCGCGUCAGCUCAGAGCUGUGCAGCCCAGCUUGAAGCCUCCCCCCCUGGAUUCCCAAUAAGAGAGAGUUAGCAACAGCUAGCCAAGGUCUGGUCGGCCUCGUCGCUGCAGUGUCCAGUUUGCCCCGAAGAGGCAGCACGACUCAAGAGGCUGAAAGAGCAGCUUCCUGUUUGCGGUCUGGAGGGGUCGGCCGACGGGGAGCAGGUGGACAGACUGAGGAUCGGUGACCUGUGGAUACACCUGCUGCAGCUGCCGGCGAGACGGACCGCAAGGUUCCGCGGCACCACCCAGAUGAAUCUGAGCCCAGAAGAGCAGACGUGGGACGAAAGGAAACAGGGGCCACUGGACCAGGAGGGCUGGAGGCACCAGAGUUCAUUCAUUUUAUUUCUGUGCUGAUAAUGAAUAAUUUCACACCAGUGUUACCAUAGCCCCGAGGCAAUAACACUCUGGAGAGAAUCACCAUCAGUGGGGUUCAUUUCACCUCCCGGUUAAUCCCUCAUGCCGUCAGAAUCCUCCACGCUCUGUGGCCCCUAUUGUAAUCAAAUAACACGUGAAAACAAGUGUCAGUAAUGUUUCUGGAUUUCAUCACAUCUCCACCAGCGUUGUAAGUGGCCAUGUUUAAUUGAUAGCUUUCUCUGGAUGAUGUAGAGGGCAGCGCUCGCUAUCGCUCUGGACAACGGCAGGCUACUUGAAAUGAUGAAAAACCCGCUAAUUGUCACUUCCUUUGUUUAAAGUUCACGAUUCCUCGUGAAAAACGACGCUUCAUUCGGGCCCCAGUCGGGCUGUUCACAUCUUCUCACUCCGUCAACUGCCGUCUCUCCAUCCACUGCUCUUUAUCGCCUAUCUCAUUAUGACCGCUGUUCCUCCUUCCUUGUUCUGCUCGGCUUGCCGGCUGACAAGCUGAGCAUAAUGGAGAUGGGUUGGAAAAGGCUGCGAGUGUUCGGCCCCCGAGCACAGCGAUAGGAGGGGGAAAAAAAACUGACUAGCUGUGAGAAUUAUGGUAAGAGAUUCAUUUGGACUUAUGAUAGUUUGAAUUUGCUGCUUCCGCUCGCUCUUCUCCUUUUCCUUUUUUUCCCCCCAUCCUCUCCAGCCGGAUGCCGACAGAAUAGAACAGGAGAUGAGUUGUUCUGGAAAACAGAUACUCAGUGUUAUUGGAAAAAAGUGCAAGGAAACAUCAUGAAUCAAUUCCGCCUUUGUUAUGGAUCAGUCUGUUUUUGUCUCACUGCGACGAAAGUCCAGUGAACUAAUGGACAAAAUGAUACUGCAACAUCUGUACACCUCGUAUAUGUAAAGGAUUGUGCACACAGAAGAGGAGAUUGUGAGUACUGACCAGUGGGACAGACUCACUCGCAGCCCGGUCUCAAGAUUGACUGCUGACUCUCAUUAGCCCUUAAAACAUUUUUGCAGACUUAUUAUAUUAAGUCUUCGCCUCCUUUGUCCCAGAAAAUAUGUUCUCAGCAUUUCUGCGCACGCACGCACGCACGCACGCACGCACGCACGCACUCUCCAUCUCCUCCUUUCUCCUCCUGUUUUUCUUUCCUUUUUUCCCCUCUUGCUCUCCCUCCCUCAGCGCUCAAGGCUGCUCAUUUUUCAACAAGCAAUAGUUUUGCCGUGUCUGGAUCUUGCAUCUCUCUCUCUCUCUCUCUAUCUCUCUCUCUCUCACACACACACACACACACACACACACACACACGAGAAAGAAAAAACUAAACGCGUGCUGUAUUUGCAGAGUGUUUGCAUUACAGAUCUACAGAGGAAAAAAAACAGAAGUGCUGGAUACCUGGAGGUUAUCAUCGGGAAAUGAAUUUGAGGCGAUACGGGCCAGUGGCGAUUGAUUGUCUGCCUCCAGUGUCGUUUGGAUGCCCACAGGAAGGCAGCGUUCAACGGAAGCAUACAUGCAAAACGUCUAGAUAUACACAUAUAUCUUGGAGUCUUAGCUUUAACAUACAGCCCAUGUACAUAUAUGUGCUUCAAAGCUAAGGCUGACAGAUGGGAUGGAGGAGGAAUACUAAGAGCGCGUCCCUGCGAGCUGAUCCUCCUCAUUACAUCAGGGAUUGUAGAAUUCAUGCUUCAAAUAAGCACGGCUAGGAAAGGUGCGAACUCUGGUAGUCUCCGUUUUCACCCGGCUAAUUCAUAAUUUAACAGAUAUGUUUGGCUCCGCGCCCCGCUCCACUUUUGUAGGAAUAUUUUCUAAGGAAUAGAUUGCUCAUUACAAGUGUCCACAGCUCUGGAAAUAAGCGCCGGAUUAACGCUACGAGCUUCGUUUAUGGAUCUUUGAUUAAUGGCGCUCCUCCCUCGCCGUCUGCUCCCUGAUGCAAUAUGUAUGCAUUGUUUUUCCUCCAUUUCCUCUGUGACGCAAGUAAUUACACACGCCGCAAAAAUGAAAAAUACAAACUGCAUCAAAUUUGCAUUAUAUUAGGGUUUAAUGUCACUUCAUUCUGCGGAUCGUUUGUGUGAAAAUUCAAACGGCCCCCUCUUCGCUUUGUUCCGUGACACGAGGCCCGACAAGCAACCGGAGUCGAGCUUUGGUGCGUUAGCUCAGCUCGACUGAACCUCAUUAUGACUUUUCAAUUAGAGGGAUGAGUGAAGUCUGGGACGUCUGCAACUCUCCAGCCAAUCAGGGCCUUCUUAAUCAUUCCCUUUGGUUCAAGGGGAGACGAUGAAUGUGAGCGGGUGAUGAACGGCCCUGUGAACUGCGGAGCCAACUGGGUUGGAGCCGGGGAGGUUUAUGUUUCUGAUCAAGGAAAAUUGUCCUGGUUCGGAAUAAAAGAAUAAAAGAUUGAACAUUUACACCCACAUACAAACUCUUUCUCAAUGCACAUAAUAUCCUGCUAGAACUGGCCUCCAGCCUCCGUUUCCUCUAAUGUACAGAACAUCACCAUUUCUAGGUCGGAAGGGUGUUGGACCUGCAUCCAGCAGCUUAUUUAAAUCCAUAUUCUUUCAUAUUUAAAUAUUUAAGGAGGUUUAUUUGGCGUUUAUCUCUUCUUUUAAUGUGAGUUUUUAUACAUUAUUUACCCUCCUUUGAACCCGAGUCCCCAAUCCGAAGCUUCUAAACCUGCACCUGCCAAGUUCGGUCUCUGACGAGAGAUUAAAGUGGGGUUCGUCUGCGCUGUGAGAAACCAGGGCACGGUUCUAUUCCCUCUCUGAUACAGUAUGUUUAGUGUUGUCAACACAUCUCAUCUAUUGGCACAUUGUCUCAUCCCACUCGCUGGCUGGCUGGCUGACUGACAUGCUGCUGCGCUGUUUCCUGUCUCUUCGCUGGGAGCGGCCCACACACGGGGGGAAAAUCCGCCGUGUUUCUGAGCCCAAUGUUCUGCCGUCAGAUGAUGCGGGUGCUUUUCUUUCUUCCUCUCACGCGCACCGCCUUCCAUCGCCUGCUCCGCGCCAUCCCCCCUCGCCUGAAAGACUCGUCCUCGGGUGCAGUCGGCGUAACAGCCCCGGCUCAGACGACACAAGCCCGCCAAGCGUCUGCCGCAGAUUCCUCCAAUCCCUCUUCACGGUCGUUUCAUUCUCCCAAGGCCCUGGCAGUCGGCAGCCGCGCCGCAACCGUCCGGCGAGUCGCCUCUGAACGGGCCCAGGGCAUCUUCAUUGAGUCGAACAAACGAUCGCUGGGGAGGCCCUGAUGCAGGCUUUAUGAAGAAGUCCUCCCCGAGAGAAAAGGGCCUAUUUCUGUAUAACGCCUGAUAUGCAUGCGUUCCUGUGGUAAACCUGCCUCUUCUCUUCCAGCAUCUCUCUCUCUCUCUCUCAGUCUUCUCUCAUUCUCACAUUAAUCUUCACAUGUGAUAUUUUGGAGCUUUGAUCAGUUCCGUGUGGUGCACAUCAUCAUGCAACUUGU
Scophthalmus maximus (turbot) is the source of this 5222-nucleotide long non-coding RNA. RefSeq lists it as uncharacterized. The transcript has 9 exons. The record is from RefSeq and is a predicted model, not a curated record. NCBI's taxonomy places the organism in Eukaryota, Metazoa, Chordata, Actinopteri, Pleuronectiformes, Scophthalmidae.